Molecule: ribosomal RNA, 291 nt
Filed under: uncultured Glomeraceae
Lineage: Eukaryota; Fungi; Glomeromycota; Glomeromycetes; Glomerales; Glomeraceae
Description: partial small subunit ribosomal RNA
Rfam family: Eukaryotic small subunit ribosomal RNA
Source: RNAcentral
AGCAGCCGCGGUAAUUCCAGCUCCAAUAGCGUAUAUUAAAGUUGUUGCAGUUAAAAAGCUCGUAGUUGAAUUUCGGGACCAAUAUGUCGGUCGUGCUUCGGUACGUACUUGCAUUAUUGGUUUCUCCCUUCUGAAGAACCAUGAUGUCAUUAAUUUGGUGUCUUGGGGAAUCAGGACUGUUACUUUGAAAAAAUUAGAGUGUUUAAAGCAGGCUCACGCUUGAAUACAUUAGCAUGGAAUAAUGAAAUAGGACGUUUGAUUCUAUUUUGUUGGUUUCUAGGAUCGACGUAA